CAGUCGCCGCGGUAAUACGAAGGGUGCAAGCGUUAAUCGGAAUUACUGGGCGUAAAGCGUGCGUAGGCGGUGAGUUAAGUCUGCUGUGAAAUCCCCGGGCUCAACCUGGGAAUGGCAGUGGAUACUGGCUCGCUAGAGUGUGUCAGAGGAUGGUGGAAUUCCCGGUGUAGCGGUGAAAUGCGUAGAGAUCGGGAGAGACAUCAGUGGCGAAGGCGGCCAUCUGGGACAACACUGACGCUGAGGCACGAAAGCGUGGGGAGCAAACAGGAUUAGAGACCCCUGUAGUCCCUGUCUCUUAUAC
This 301-nucleotide ribosomal RNA is filed under the name uncultured bacterium. Its description in RNAcentral is "partial 16S ribosomal RNA". It matches the Rfam family "Bacterial small subunit ribosomal RNA", at positions 509 to 807 of the family's 1533-position model. The record is from RNAcentral.